Molecule: non-coding RNA, 16765 nt
Organism: Varroa destructor (honeybee mite)
Lineage: Eukaryota; Metazoa; Arthropoda; Arachnida; Mesostigmata; Varroidae
Source: RefSeq, a predicted model, not a curated record
CCAGAAAUGAAUCGUCGUAUGCACAAUAGUUGUUGAGCUUCGGAGACGGAAGCCGAAAUGUCGGUGGCCGCUUCGAACAUGGCGGCUGACCACUUCGACCCGGGCGAACUGGUCUGGUUCGAUCCGGGUGUUGGGUACUCUUUACCAGGUGAGGUGGUCGAAUUCUCCGCUCCCGCAGGCGUAGUCAUCGUUCAGGCAAUUGUCGCUGGCCAACCGAAGCCAUUUACCCUCCACAAUCUGCAGGCGGUUCGUCGACGUGAAGAUCUCGGGCCCGAUGGAGUUCAAGAUAUGAUUGCUAUGUCUGACCUCUGUGAGGCCAGCAUCCUUUGGAAUCUCAAGGUUCGAUACGAUCGUCAACACAUUUAUACAAACAUUGGCAGCAUCCUUUUGGCGGUCAACCCAUAUCGUCUGUUCGAUAUAUAUGGAGUCGAUGCCGUCAAACGAUACGAGGGUCAGAUCCUAGGAAGCCUGCCUGCGCAUAUAUUUGCGACCGCGUCUGCCGCGUACCAAAAGUUAAACAAGGGCGGAUCCGAGCUGGAAAAUCAGGUUGUGGUAAUUUCUGGCGAGAGCGGUUCGGGUAAGACGGAAUCAACCAAACUGAUACUUCGGUACCUGGCAGCAGUCAAUCGUUCGGCAAGUAACCUCGUGACGGAACAAAUUCUCGAAGCGUCUCCUUUGCUUGAAGCUUUCGGCAACGCGAAAACUGUCAAAAAUGACAAUUCGUCCCGUUUCGGAAAAUACAUGCAGGUUUUUUUCAACGACGGUGUAAUAACUGGCGCACGGACCAUUGACUAUUUGUUGGAGAAGAGCAGAAUAGUUACACAGGCUCAAGAUGAAAGAAAUUACCAUGUGUUCUACGAAUUGCUGGCCGGCCUCUCCGAUCAGGAAAAGGAAAAAUACGGCCUCCAAACAGCAGACAAAUAUUUCUAUUUGAAUCAGGGUGGCAGUAUCGAAUGUGGAUCCAAGAACGAUGUCGAGGAUUUCAGAUCGCUUCUUGCGGCGAUACAGGUGCUCGGGCUGUCAAGUGAAGAGACUGAUGUGAUAUUUCGCAUCCUCGCAGCCGUACUUCAUCUCGGCAAUGUCUAUUUUCAUCGGAAACCUUUAAAGCAUGGCACAGAAGGAGUAGACGUCGGUAGCGAGGCUGAGGUUCGUUGGGCAUCCCAUCUGUUACAAACCCCUGCAGAAGGCAUUUUGCGUUCUCUGACAACAAAAGCAACAGAAGCGCGCGGCGAGCGUCUUCUGACGCCUCUGAACAUUGAUCAGGCUCUCGACGCCAGGGACGCCAUUGCUAAGGCUCUCUAUUCAACGUUGUUUUCGUGGCUCGUGAAACGAGUGAAUGCUAUCGUAUACAAGGGGCCCCGGCGAGCCUGUAUUGCCAUACUCGACAUAUUCGGUUUUGAAAGCCUUCAGGAGAACUCAUUUGAGCAACUGUGCAUUAACUAUGCCAAUGAAAACCUUCAUAGUUAUCUUAAUCGACAUGUAUUCAAGUUGGAGCAAGCCGAAUAUGCAAAGGAAAGAAUCGAAUGGAUUCCGCUAGCCUAUCCGGACAACCAAGCGGUUAUUUCUUUGAUUGCCAAAAAACCAGUGGGCAUCCUUCAUCUACUAGACGACGAAAGCAACUUCCCCAAGGCCAGCGACGUUUCGUACCUUGAGAAAUGCCAUUACAACCAUGCGCUUAACGAACUCUAUUCAAGACCACGUAUGAGUUCAUUGGAGUUCGGCAUUCGGCACUACGCCGGUCAGGUGUGGUACUCUGUGGACGGCUUUCUUGAUAAGAACCGCGAUACACUCAGGCCCGAUGUAACGGAGCUACUGAUCGCAUCAAAAAUCACAAUGAUAUCGAAGAUGUUCCUUCAUAGCCGCGAGCAACUUCAGCAGGACGGCCACCGUGGAAGCCGACACGAUGGGGGUCGUUUUGUCACAAUGAAACCGCGAGCGCCGACUGUUGCAGCUCGAUUCCAUGAUUCGUUACAGGCGCUUGUUGACCAGAUGGCCCAGUGUAAUCCUUGGUUUAUCAGGUGCUUAAAACCGAACGCCGAGAAGAUCCCAAUGCGUUUGGACAUGCCGCUCGUUUUAGAGCAAAUACGAUAUUCUGGUAUAUUGGACACGGUGCGGAUUCGAAAGACCGGCUAUCCGAUCCGGUUUAAGUUUUCUCAGUUUGCUGAUCGAUACCAGUGUCUAAUUUCCCAGAAGACUCUCGGACGUGCCGCUCCGCCGCGUGAUAUAUGUCAACGUAUUUUGGAACAGUUCUCCUCAAGACAGGAUAAUUACCAGCUUGGCCAAUCGAAGGUGUUUCUGCGGGAGCCCCUGGAACAACACCUCGAUCGGACGCGUGCGAACCGUAUUCGCUCGGCCGUUAUAACGAUCCAGAAGCACAUCCGGGGCUAUCUCGCGCGUCAACGUUACGAUCGCAUAAAACUGUCUGCAGUUAAGAUCCAGUCCGCGUACCGAGGCUAUGCACAACGGCGGAAAUACCUCAAAGUGCGUCGUGGCGUUGUUCGUGUCCAGGCAAACUGGCGCAUGAAGUUGGCCUUACGCUCGUUCCGUCGACUUCAAGAGAGUGUCGCGUUAAAACGCGAGGCCGAACGUCGAGCCCGCGAAGCUGAACGGGAGAGAGUGGAACGUGAAGAACGCGAGAGGGAGAAACGAGAACGAGCCACAUUUCAACAUCUCGAAAUUCCGCCAGAACUACAGUUGGCACUCAAUAAUAUCGAUGACUGGCAGUGUCCCCAAGGCGAGAGAAAUAUUGUUAAAGCAAACGAGCGUCCUCAACGAAGGCCUCGCCGGGUUAUUGGACUUCCGGCAGAUAUCGACUCGCACGUAUUCAGCAAAUUCACCAACAUCUAUUUUAAGAGCCACCAAUGGGGUCUCAAGAAAGAGCCUAUUACUACGCCGUUCCUUGCUAAAGCUCACGACCAAGACAACCACGACUCGGUGGCCAUAUUCAAGCUUAUUCUGCGCUUCAUGUACGACCCGAAUCUGACGGGAAAGCGGGAGCGACUCUUGGGCGACUACAUCGUACAACGGGGAUUGGCACGACCUUCACUUCGAGACGAAAUUCUUUGCCAGCUCACAACCCAGACCUGUAAUAAUCCGGACGCCGCGUCCCGAAAUCGCUGUUGGCUGUUAAUGGCUAACUGUCUUUCUUGCUUCCCACCGUCGAGAACGCUCUACAAAUACCUCCUGAAAUACGUCUCUGACCAUGCGGCCGUAGAUAACUACGCUUGUCACUGCCAGCGUCUCCUUCUACGCAUCGGCGCAAUGGACGCCAAGCUAGCCCGAACUUAUCCACCCAGCCUGCUCGAGUGGCGCAAUAAUGCCAAUCGAUUUCAGAUCGGGCUUGAAGCUCACACGUAUGAUCAGAUGACGGAUCCCUUAGAUAGCGGAGCGCCCGCAACCAUUAUUGAAGCGCACUCGUGGAGUUCGGGACAGGAUUUUGCAACUGAUAUGCUGCACGCCCGAGGUAUUGAAGAAUCCCAUUCAUUUGGCUGGUCUACGGACCUCAUUGAGGAAAAUGGGAAUAUCGUUUACUCGUUGAACGGGGCCGAUUAUCUUAUGGACCUAAUCUCGGAAACGGAAAUUGCUCCCGGGUUCGACACCUGCAAAAGCUAUUAUCUUGUGUCGUGUGACCGGUCCCGACCUAUGGAAAAAAGUUUGCCGCUUUCGACGUCAGGGCCACAUGAUCCUGAACGCUACAAUGUUUACGAAGCAGAUAUAAAGGAACUGCCACCGCUUCCGGCUAAUCCCCCACCAGCUAAUCGACAGGUCGCGCGGGGUAAAACAUCCACAGCGAAGACUCCACAACCCGCACCUCCGGUAGCUAUGGGGAGGAAAGCGCUACACCAUAUGAGCACAAAUGCUCUUGGUCCAGCGGCCGGUGGCGGUGCCUACAAGAAGAAUCACAUGACUCCUUCUCGGAGUCGUUCGAUGGACGAUCUUCUCGAUGGCGACGAAGGCUCGGUAGUACCUCCACCUCUAUCGAAACGCAGCGCCUUAAAUGAUCGUUACUUUGAGGUCCGUCGAAGUCAUCAGCAACUUAGUACUCAUAACGAUAGUGUGGUCAGUCACGAUGACCUUCAGAGCGAUGCCGAUGAUGAUGUGCUCCCACUAAGCACGAAGUCGCGACUGAAUCAGCGAUACUUAUCUCAGCAAGCUGGAUAUCAAGGGCAUCAUCAACAGGGCGAAAUGGCCGACGGCCGCUCUUCAUCUAUUCCUGACAUAUCUGAGUUGUCACCGAUUAUGAACGCAGGAGGCGAGCGUCCUCAUCCGGCCUGGCAACGUAAGCUAGGAUUGAGCGCAUCGGCCCUCAAUGAACGCUACUUCGAUGACGGCAGCACUGGAGGUGCCGACGACGGAGCUAGAGGCUCGACAGGCUCUAUGCCAGUCACAGAGCAGACGAUCGAACCACAGCACAAAUUUGCACGGGAUCGCCCGCCAGCUGCACGGCCCGACUACCGAUAUCCUCCACACCCGAAAAGCAAGCGCUCAGCGCAGGCUCCCGGGCCGGCCUUAGGAAGCGGAUCGCAAAGUUCACGCGCAACUCGCGUAGGGCCUGGCGAAUACACACGGUCAUCUGCGAUGUCUGACUGCUCGGAAGCGCCGUCACUCGCUUCACACGUACGCCACGUCAAGGUUCCAUCACAUACAGCUGACCUCGAUCAGUAUCUUGAUGAACUGUUUAAUCCGGUACUUGAUGGCGAUGAUGGACUAUCAGAUGCCCGCUCCCUGGCCGCUAGCCUGAAGGGCCGUCAGCGAGACUUCGAUGAUGAUUCUCUUAUAGAGGCAAUGAGCGAUCCGGUUCGACUAUCACGGAAAAUCAAAGGAAUGAUAUUGGAUGAUGAUCAGGAUAGCACAAGUGAUCCUGUGGAAUCAGGCUCAAAGACUCCCGACCCCGUAUUUCCAGCGCCUCCGCCGCCUCCACCACCGAUGCCGACACCUGCACAGCUUGGACUCUCUUCAUUAUCGAACUCCACGACGACUUUACAGCGCUCUUUGGUGCCACUGGAUCAACCCCUUGAAGUGCAAACAGCGUCGCUCAGUUUCGACGACGAUGAGGUCCUCUCGCUUGCCGAGGACUCAAUUGGAAUGAUGUGGCAGGAUCCGGUCGCACUGAGCGCUCGCAUCAAGGGUGUAACGCAAGCAGUUGAGCAACAAGGAGCAAUGUCUGGAGCAGGUGUGCAAGGCUUACCGGGGCUGAACCCAGGGGCAGCGGCGUUCUUUGGCUUUGGAGCACCUGGUCAGCGAACUCAGGGUCCAUCAAGUCCUGGAAGUAACGGCGGCGCUACAACGUCGAACAGUAACGGCUCGAAUCCUGCCUUUUAUAACCUGCCUCUGUAUAACGUGUCAGGAAUGACCGUGCCAAUAGUUGACGCCAGCCAGUUGAUACAGCAACAGGUGCUGCAGCAGCAUAUGAUGCAGAUGCAACAACGGGCCUUCUUGGCCAGCGCCGUCCAGCAAAAUCUUCAAAUUCAACAACAGUUAAUGCAGCAAAGUGCAGCACUCCAACAACUGCUACAGAGUUCGGUCAUUGGAGGAGCUUCCUCUCCUGGCCAGUCAGCGGAAGAGGGACUUCAAAGUAUUCAGUCGACGACAUCUGCACCAGCCAAUCUGCAGAAGGGCCUUUUUCCGUCAGGUUUAAAUCUGAUGAGUCCCCUGCUGCUGAGCCAAUCACCUGGAGUUGGUCAAGACCUCUCGACGCAUUCGGUGCCUGCAAUGCCGACACAAGCCCCCAUAGGGAAAUUGCGAAAAUUUUCUGACAAGGGCGGCGCUGCUAGUGAUUCAAGCAGUACUAGCAGCAGCAACAAAAGCAAUUUUCAGAACGUCCUCUCCGAGCUUAAAAUGAAGGCUGGUAAUAGCGGACCUCCAGAUCCGCCACUUUCACCGACGUCCGCGAAGAAGAGGGCUGCUGAUCUGUAUGGCCGGGCCAAGACGAUUCGUAUCGGAAAGUGGCGGUGGCCACCGCCUCGAGACGAUAAGGGCAAUUGCAUUCCGGCACCGGGUCAACCUACUUCAUUUAGCGAGUUCAAACGCCUCAAGCGUGAGGCUAAAAAGCAAGCCAAGAGGGACGCUGGUUUAGCGGGACCUGAUGAUGACGAUAUCGAGGUCAGCUCGUCCGACGAUGAGAAAUACAUGCAUGGCAACCCGUAUAGCCAGAUGAAUGCUGCAACAGGAUCGGGUGACAGCGCUUUGAAGAGUAGUGGUACUAGCAAUAAGGAUGAUAUUAUCAAGGCUUUCGAAGGCCGGUCCCGUCCAGAUCCCGGAUCGAUCGGGAAAAUUCGUAUUAGUAAUGAGAUGAAAUCGAAACUCGAACAACUGACUAUUGAUCAUUCAGUCCGCUCGAAAAGCUCGUCGGCAAAGGGCAGUCCUGGUUCAGCCGUAUCCGCUUUCAAACAGCUCAACGAUGAGCGGAAAAACGCUCUUGAACGUCAGUUACAAGGUUGGUCUGAUAAUCAAGGUCAUAAAUGGACCGAUGGCCGAGCCCAGCCGAGAACAUCGGCAGCGGGAGCUGGUACCGAAUCAGAUGCGGAAAGUUUCCAUGUUGAUAAUCUUGUGAAAAAUAAAAUUAAAAAAAUGGAACGAGUGUCGCAGCAGAUCAAUGAACGCGGGAUACAUCCUAUUGGAAAUGGAGAACAGGCAUCGACCAAUAGCUCUGGCAAGUCAUAUGGAUACGACGAUAACAGCGAUCCAGAUUCACCGGUAUUAGCGCAAAAUAAGAAAAAUCAAAGGAACCAACUUGGCCCUCCUCCACCGCCGCCAGGGGGCGAGAAAAAGCAGACGUCCGAAUAUGAAGACGUCAAGGAAACCUCGACACCUCUGAUCGAGCGAAGUAACCGUCCUCCAGUCCAACAGCCGCAGACACAAACCAAGCUCUUUCCUCUACCACAGACUUCGUUCCUGAUGUAUACGAAUACACGUUGGGAACUUCGUAUCCGCAAAGAGGUUUUUUCGCCAGCCGAGACAUUGAACGAUCCCAAAGCCACACAUCUGAUAUUCGCACAAGUCGUUCGCGAGGUGAUAGCGGGCACCACGAUUCGUUUGACGCUGUCGGAAAUCUGCCAGCUUCGCUCCCUUUUGUCGGAGUUCGGCGUAACGGAAAGUAACGUAAAUGCUGCGGCAGCACACAAGCCUCACGUAAAAAAGGCCAUCAUCGAACAGUGCCGUAAAUUCCCGAACUACUUUGCCCGGAUCUUUCCCGUAUCAACAGGUGCUGCAGGACAGCGACAAAACCGGUCAGGAAACCAUUUACCCGAACUGCUUGGAGUGUCCCAUUCCGGCCUGCGACUACUACGACGUGACCGAGAUGCGUCUAACGGACGUGAGUAUCUCCGGGUCCUUGACACCAUUGCAUUCGAUAAUGUCGUAGACGUGAGUUUGGCCCGGGUUUCAACCGUGCAAUUACUGCUACGCGAUGGGGGGCUGAUGACGUUGUACUCGCCGAAAGCGCCACACAUUCAUUCGAUUGUCGAGAGAUUUGUUCGUGAAGCGCUUCGUGAGGGUGGGGGCAGUGAAUUCGUACGGGCGCUGGCAGAUUAUGUGACCUCAGAAAACAGUCUGCUCAGUUUUCGUCGAGGAGAUAUCAUCCGCUUACUGCAUAAGCCUGCGAGCCAUGUCAAUGUUCCCAAAGGCUGGCUAUUCGGCGCAUUGGAUACUGGCGAUACUGGUCUGUUUCCGAUUGAAUACGUGGGGCCACUUCAAACCCGCAACGGUCAUGAUAUGGCAGCAAUGCACCAUUCCUGGUCACAUGCCGAGCAUAAUAAGGAUGAAACCCGAACCCCAACAUCGAGGGAAGUGAGACGAAUCGAGCGUAGCGAGCACCAGAACUUACCCAAGAGAUCUCCACUAACCGAGCCAAACGGCAUUGACCCGCUUCAUGAACACAUCGGGUCUGAUAACGAAUUCGACGUGGUAGGUGACCUUAAUGCAGGCGGGCCGGGUGGACUAGGUUCCCCUAUUGCUGGGCCGUUGGAACCAAAUGGAAAAUUCUCAAUGCUGCAGUUCGCUGUGUUCAACUUCCGUGAGAGUUUGGAGAAAUACGACGUCCUGAGAGACCGUGAAAAUCAUUCGAUUCGAGGCAGUAUCAAGAUGCUGGAGUUGCUCAAACAACAAAAUAAACAGGGCAAGAAAAAGAGCAAAAAGAAAGCAGAGGAGGACUCGGAUUGGACAUGGAGCGAGCUUACGGAACUUGUCAAGUUCAGCAAAUCGCCACUCCACAAAUCCCUUUUGCCCUUAGAGUCAACCGAAUUGAACAAGGUGGCCGUAGACUGUUUCAUACAAAUUAUGCGUUACAUGGGCGAUUACCCGAUGGCGAAAGGCCUUCUCGAGGUAGACUGCGUGUAUUCGAUACUUAGCACGUUGCACAAGUACCCCAUGCUCCAUGACGAAGUUUACUGCCAGCUCAUCAAACAAUGCACCUCGAACAAAAGCUCGAAGCUUGAUUCAUGCCAGAAGGGCUGGCGACUGCUAUCCAUAGUGACCGCGUAUUUCGAUUGCAGUGAUAACCUUCGACCGUAUCUUUUCCAUUUCCUCGAGACCGCCGCGUUUGAUAAUCGACGAGCGUUCCAUGGAACAGCGAUGGUGUGCCUGCAUAAUCUGCGCAAGACGUUCCGCUACGGAGGCCGCAAGAAUGUCCCUUCAAUUGAAGAAAUCGCUGCGAUUUCGGCUGGGCGAAACUCGAAGCGUCAGAUGUACCGCCUGCCAGGUGGCACAGAAAGGGUUAUUAACACGAGAUCGACAACAGUUGUUGACGAUAUUAUUGAAGACAUCUGUUCCGUGCUCGGUGUUACAGAUCCCCUUGAGAUGGAAGAAUUCUCGUUGUACUGUAUUGUAGAAGGCGAUCCAUUCACGAUGCCACUGAGUCGUGAUGAGUACAUUCUGGACGUUACCACGGAACUGCUAAAGAAUGAUCACGUCUUCUACUUAAUCUUCUGCCGUUCCGUCUGGUAUUAUAAUCUGAGACUCGACAAUCAACUUUACAUCGAGGUAAUCUUCAACCAGGUCGCACCAGAUUACCUAGAAGGUCUUCUACUCGUUACUGAGGGUGAUGAGUUACCUGAAGGCGCCGUUCAAGACAUCGCCCGAAUUGCCGCGCUGUUACAUCGUGCGGCCAACAUGCAACAUACGCCGACAAAAGAUGAAGUUAAGUAUCUCCUGCCGAAGCCUGUACUGCCAAUGAAGGACAUCAAGCCACCACAAUGGGUUGAGUCCGUUCAGCAGCAUUGGCCCCAGGCCCUCACGGCCACAACAACUGAAGCUAAGGCCGAAUGCCUCGCUAUACUACAACAAUGGCCAUUGUUCGGUUCAUGCUUCUUCAAUGUGAAGUGGAUGCGCAGUGAGAGUACAGCUAACGAGCAAGUACUAGCCCUCAACCGUGAGGGUAUCCAUUUUCUCGAUGUGCAGACGCAUAAUACUGUUUGGAUGCAGCCAUUUUCGGAGGUGAUCUCGACCCGAAAAGUUCAAGCGGAGGAUGGAACCCUGUUUUUGGAUAUGAAGUGCGGCAAUCUAAUGCAGCAGAAAAUCACGCGGAUUCAAACUGAGCAAGCUCACGAAAUCUCACGCCUUGUGCGGCAGUAUAUCAACAUUGAGCAGGGCUUACAAGGCCGAGGAGGACCCGGCGGACAGCUAAACGCUAUGGGAACACAAAAUAUGACACUGACGAGGCGUUAAUACUACUAAUACUGUCAUAAUCUUUACAAGGAAACUGCAUACUUUCCCAAUCUUUGAAGCGGGAAGACGAACGAGGCUAUAGUUUCGCAUAGUCUUAACGUUGCAAGAUGUAAUACUAAUGCAAUAAUAAUGCAAUAGGUUUUAUGGCGACUCACCAUUAACUUGGAACUUCGCACCAACAAAUGGCACCCGAUCGCCAAAUGCCAAACGGACCGUCCCAGCAAAUGCCCAAAAGGACCUUGAAAGGUUACGAAAUCUUAAACGCCACAGCCAUGCUGACCGUUUGAGUACUGGCAUAUAAUCAAGUUUCGAAUAAUUUUAGCUUUGCAGCGUAGAUAACGAAAGACCGGAGAUAUUUUGAGUGAAUCUUACUGAGAACUUGUUUCAACUGAACGAACGGACAUGACGACUGUCGGUGCUCACUAGCCGACAAUUUAUACUGUGCAAGAAGAUGGAGUGAAUUUUGAACGGAUGCACAAUUUCGAAACGGAACUCCGCCUGCCCGUUCGCAUGAAAACCUAAAUAGGAUAUCGUCGAUGGUUAAGUGCGAUCUUUUUAAGCAGAUAGUUGCACCUAGCGUUGAGCCAUGUCGGGUGCCUAAUAUUAUUAUCAUAUCAUUGGAAUCAUUUACUAAAAUCUCGUUACUAUUAGAAUAUAUAUUCAAUAGCAGCCUUCAUCGAACUGGUCGUUUCUUGUUGGCGCAUGAUUAGUUUGGAGCUGAAUGCAACAUUGCUGAAGUUGCCACUCACUUCACAUGAUGCCACUGUGCAGGGUCCGGGUCAUUGCGUAUGUGGGUCAGCAUAUGGGUUCGACAUGUAUUCGCGCCCGACAUUUCGUUUACCUUGAAAAUCGUGAUCGGCUUGAACAACCGAAGAGAGGCUCUAUUCAUUCAUUAAUUCAUGCAAUAUACUAUAUAACGAAUAUAUAUAGCCUUUUGUAUAACUGCCCUGUUGGACCCUGAACGGUUCAUUACUACUAGAGACAUUAGACAAAGAGCGAGAUAAACUGUGUACUCCGAACGCCAAUUCAAGCUAUACAUCUCUUUCUCAAUGAAAUCAUUACCUUGCUUGUUAGUACACUUUGUACUAUAGCAUUUCGAUGUUUUCUCGAAACGUGCUACCGUGUGUGUGUUGUGUGUCGUAUUUGUUAGACGUACGCCGAUGACACGACUGUUUGGUACUAUGCUUGAUAAUCAAACGCGGAUCUGAGGCGCCCGGCAUCAAACCAGAAAUCUAACGUGGCCCGAUUAUUUUUUAUUCGGUAAUGAUUCAGCAUAUAAAUACAUCGUGUGAAGCAGAGGUGCUAUUUCCUUCAAAAGAAAUGCGUUGGGAAGCUGUGUGGGUCGCACGUUCACGCGCAGGUGACACGAGUUCGAAAGAGUUGACAAAUAACACCGUUAAGCAGAAAUCACAACAACAACAACAACAACAACAACAACAACAUUAAGAGAACAUAGGAGAGUGCCGUAUAUAGGGAAACUCAUAAGGAAUGAGCAUCUGUUAACUGUGUUAAAAUGGCAUAAUAUGAUCGUAUGAUUAGUUAUUAUCAGUUCACACUAGCGGUAAAGUUACAACUGCAAUAAGUAGUUAAUAAUAGGUACACAUACGUUGGAAGUUAGGCAAAGUUUGCGGAUGGCUGACAAACGCCAGUGCUUGAGCUGCCUAGGAACAGUGAUUAGAAAGCAAAUGUUGACGCUAGUGUAAUUAACGAUAUAAACUUUGCUCAUUGUUUAUUAAUAUUGGAGACUGACUUGUGAGUUAUUAACAGCUGUCGCUCAUCUUAAAUUGAUGGACGACGCCGCCGCAGACAUGAGAUCGGCUAUCUGUGGUAGAUUGCUCGCUACUAAAACAUACUCAGAACAAGAAGGAGUAUGCCAUUUGAUACGCGAUGGCAACGCGAUAGAACCUUUUCUGCGGCUGUGAUGGCAAAGAGGCUUAUCGAGAGCCGUUAGGCGUCAUCGAAAUCCCCAUUAAAGUAUCCACAUAGUCUACGAGACCAAUUUCAUUUCAAGUUAUUUACGACAUGCUAUACUCUGUUCCCAUCAAUAUGCUGUACCGUUUCAGCUAGCGUCAGUACCUUCUGUUCAGGUCCGCUAAAACGCAAUCGGUGCUGAUCGACCUAUCUAGGCUCCCCGGAUGCUGAGUUGGGCGUAUUUCCAUUUCUGUCCCACAUGUGGUCGAACAUCUAACAAACGUGUAUGACUAUAAUACAUCAAGGGAUACUGAGAAAGGAGAAACAGGCCAUGGUGUAUUUGUUGCCUUACGAAGCAGUUGAACUGAUCAGAAACUUCAGUACGAAUGACAGUAUGAAUGUGGUUUUGCCCUUGGUGGGCUUAGCAUAUUGAGCGAGUGCCCACAGGAUCCUAUCUACAAAAUCAUCGAUAGGAACCAUCGACGUACCGUCCGCAUGUAUAGCAGAACUGAGUGAUUAUAGAUAACAUUAGUGAUCUAAUGAAUAAUAGUAGUAUAAUUAAUGACAAGCUGAAAAGGGAAACAAAAAUAACGAUAUUAAUAUAUACAUGACAACACCAACAACAAAAGCAUCGAUAAUAACAGGAAAUCCGUAGUAAAUGAAGUACUGGUCAGGUAACAAUGAAGACGAAUGUGUUUUUGUCUUAGGUAUGCGGGUUAGUUUUAGACAUUACGUUCAGCUUAAACAGUAGAACGAGAGCACACAUUUUUCACAUAACAGCUAGUUAGACAAAUGUAUCACAAGCAGUGAUGCUAGGGGUAUUUUUUACGUGAACUUUAAUGCCCCGUGAACGAAUAUACAAAUGGCACAAAGCUAGCAUACAUUUAACUACCAAUAGGCUUAUUGCUAGUGGGCGAACAAUGAAUGCAUCUGCGAUUUGAUUUCUAUAGUUUUCUAAUAUUUUUAGUCAACUUUUACGUUUGUACAAUGGCAAGGCACAGAUAACAACCUCACAGUUUGGCGGAAGAUUGUAAUGUGUAUAAAUCAUAGCACCGGAAGGAAUAACUUGCAAAGAAAGUAGCACUUAUCAUUUUCUAGCAUUAUUUAUUCCUGGAAGAGUAGUAGUAGUAGCAUUUCUUGUAAAAGCCGAGGUCUCUCAGCGUCUUCUCAAAAGUUACUGGCUAUUCAUUACCAUCGUGACUUUGCAGAGGAGUCAAUUGUUUUAACCAAAAGUUUAAAUUCGAAGUGAGCAAAAUUGGAGUUACAUGAUUUCGGAGUAAGCGCCUCAUCUUAUAUAAUGCCCCUCAUACACAGGCCUUCGAUGAACAAUAUGAUUUGAAAUCUCAGUCGGAAGAUCUAAAGCUCCUAUUUUCCACUUGGGUAUCAAGCAAAACUAUUCAUGCAAUACUAUAAUUUUCCUUUAAGUAACCAUUACGUACAUAUAUAUAGUCGACAGUAACGCAUUUACAUCAUAAUAAGCUGAGAAGCUGUUCUACUACUUCUCUUCCGAGAGCUCCGUGAACAAGAAUCAGGAAACAGUUCGAUGGGACGUAAAGUAUCACGGCUACGAUGCCCAAUGCCCAAUGCCCAAUGUGGGACAUAUUAGUCUAAUCAACUACUAAGGCUUUCUUCGUGAAAUCGAUGGCAGUUCCGCUGUAAUGGCUAUUAAUGUAACUUCUGCAAGUUAAAUGUAGUUUUUGUAACAAUGUGCCGCGAAGUAGAAUCGGUCUGUCGGCAGUCGAGUUUUAGGUUCCUCAUAAAUCGUGUUCCUCGUGUAAAACUUAAAAAAAGAUUGCUUUGUUGCUUUUUACAAGGAAAAGCCGUGACAAUCAAUUGACACAAUUUGUGUGUCCGAUGGGUUUCGAGGAAAUGUCUACAUUGAGACUUGCAGUUACCACGUGUUUAUCAGCUUUUCGAAUUAAGUUUGAGCUCCUUGGCCAUCGAAUAUUUGGAUUUUUCUUUAUGAUUUGGAUAGUUCUGGAUGGAACGACAGCUUACAACUCUCACCAGAAGUCGUUACUCGAAAGGGUACGCUCGAAAGGGUCUGACAAAUAGUAGCUUACACAGAAUCAUCUGGCCAGACCAACGGCCAAAUCAGUCGUGCGGCUUCACUGUCUAUAUCUAGCGCAAUAAAUUAGAUCAGACGUCUACGGGACACUCUCGCCAUCGUAUUACGCGUACUAAGGCGUACUACAUAAAACGUCGUUGGUUCGUCUUUGGAUGAAACUCAAACUGAAUAGACUCAAGCCGGUUAUUCCACUUUACGCCUUUAUAAGUGGAACUAUUCAAGCUACAAUUAGCAAAUGUUUCGCAUUGAGACAUAAGCAGAACGGCUCUCUGUAUUAGGCAGAUUCGUCAGCGGUCGUCAGCGCAUGCCAUCCAGGCCCCAUAUAGCCAACCUUAAAAGGAUAAGGUUAGUCAAUAUGACGUUAUAUUUUAUUAAUGUGGUCCUUAUGAGAAAUAGUAUGUAGUUAUUACCUACUGUUUGUGGGAGAUAUUUCUUACAACUACUUAUGAAUAUAUAUUAGUACUCUCGGCAAGCAGAGGUGAGCCUCUUUUGACAGAAACCUUUACCACAAUCGAUAUUAUAGACUAUAUGGCAUUAUUAUUGGUUAUCGUUAUUACAUCGAAUUAGUUCAAACAGAUGUCACAGUCUUACUACUGAUAUAAAGGAUUCUCAACUGGAGAAGGCGAUAAGACAGCAGCCAUUAUUACCAUCAAGGGCUGAUCAUAGCAAUUCCAGCCUGUAGGACUACAAUCUGAGAGGGAGUCCAAGGACAUCUUUCAUUGUGAGCAGGAUAAUUCGAUGUGUAACGAAGCCAGAAAAGCCAAGCCAAGCCAAGUCGAGUCAUAAAGGCAAGGGAUGGCCUAGAAGAAGCAACUCGAUUACCCGAUCCCGUUUGUCUGCUUAAGACAAAAACUUUUAUAACUGCUCAUUUUGGUUCUCUUCGAAAGGAGCAAGUAGUUGCACACGCUCGGUUGAAACAUGCUAGGCCAAGGUCAUUUAGACGAAGCCUCGUACGAUUUUGGUGCCGCAUUUAGAUGACAUGGGGGUCCAGACAAUUGCCGAACACUUGAACUUCCGUGCCAGUCAUGCGGGUAUUCGUUCGCUGCUAAAAGCUACGACGCAUGAAACGUCACUUCAAGGACCUCAAGUAUCUUUCAUUAGUUAGGUUAUAGACGCCCCGUCAAUUACAACGUAUUAUAUGAAACAGACGAAAGGAAUUAUCGGAUCACGUACUGAAAUUCUAUCGGAAGCUCCGUCGAACACUAGCGUUACACUUAGACAAGUACUGUUUUACGUCCCUACCAAAAUUUGCCCUCAAAGCCUGCAGUGGACGAUGUUUACCUUUCUUCUCGAGUUCGAUAUAUGCACGUUUCACUUAGUGGAAAAUAUCCGCACGGACUUUUCCCUCUACAGUUAUGCUUAGAUUUGUCCGCGACGUUUGCAAGGCUCGAUCUGAGAAGCCCCGUUGCUACUGGAUAUUAAGGUUCCAGCAGCGCUAUAAUGUCGGCCACACUAAGCAGUCAACCGAGUCUUCUCAGAUCGGCUCUCUACGAAUGUAAAUAUAUGACGCAGGUUUGUUUCCUUUGCCCUGUUUACUGUACUGUUAAUUUUUCGAAAUUAAAGAAGUUGCACAACUCCGAAGCACGCCCUUACCUCUACGUCCGCCCCAAUAUUACUUUUCGUGUCUGCUACGGUAAUGCUUAACGCACCUUUUCAGGUUCACUGCAAAAACAGAAGGCAACCUUGAUCAAUCCCAAGGCCGAUACAAUGAUCGACGACUGUUUAACACCUUCAGUUUUUAUUACUAGUACACGAUGUGCAGCAAGAGCUGGAAAUCGCUCAGGAAGCAAGGACAGGGUUAAUGAGGAGCUGUGAAUCCGAUGGUCGAUCGGGCGCCAGAGAAACAAGUUUACAAAUGUUUUAACGUAUUGAUUGCAAUACGUUUUUUUUCGAAAAAAUGAAGGUUAACGUUCAAAAAGAGCAUUCCUAAUCGGGCGACCCAGGUAGAAUUUGUAUAUUUAGUUUGGAUAAAAUUAAUGACUAGACAAAUCACCGAGCUCUCAUCGCGGAGAGCGGGAAAGAAAGAGGAGGCUUACCAUUUUAAAGCACUUAGUUGAAAGGAGGAUAAUAUGGGCUCAUAGUCAAGACAAGUCGCUUGUUAGUUUAAGUUUGGGUGCGACAUAUAUAGCCUGAUAACUGCUGAUAUAGAAAAAUGUAUGUAAACAACGAUGUGUGUACAAGGAAAUGUAUGAGGGUUUCCCGGGGCAUUUGUUCACAGUCGCAUUUAUUUUCGUAAAUGGGCGCUAGGUGGCAAAAAGUUUGUUGUUACCGUCGAUUUGCAGACAUUAUUCGCUUAAGCACGCUUUCAAAUCGCCAAACGAACUAUUCCUGUUUGUUUUUAUUUGUAUCAGUUAAGGCCGAUCUAGCCACCGGGGGCAUCCCGUACCAGACAUUAAAGCCGACUUGCCGCUAUGCGAUAUGCUCUAUAAACUAAAAAUGCUAAAAGGACCUACGACCCGCCAACACACACGCUGUGGUCGAGGGCAAGAAUCAUUUGGACGCACCCCGUGCCAACGGAUCAGUAAUAUAAAGAAACCCUGCAUCAUUAUAAUAACUCAUAGACUACAGGACGGUGUAUGGCCAGGUAUAACAUCUAACACAAGGCGCUCUUAUAGCAAAGUAAUGUAUACGCAUGUUGUUAUAUUGUUGUUCUACACUCAACAAUAGUUCGGAUAAAGUGCGCAUGAUCCGAUUGUAUCUGCUUAGUUAGAUAUAAAUUCAUUUGGCUCAUAGUAGGUGCGUUAUAAAAUAAAAAAAAAAAAAACGUUUACCCGCUCUCAAAGGUUUAGGCAGUAUAUGAUGUGGACGUUCCGCUUUCUAAAUGACAUCCCAUCUUGGGAAGGAAUAAGAUCUGCUUUUGUAUCUGGCAUGGCCAUAUUUAUCGAAUGUUGUUUCGGCUGCUAGCGGAUCCGAACUUUGGUUAUUACGCUACCGUUGUACUAUAGCUAUAAGGGUAGAAGUUUAUUCGAUUGUUUGAAGCUCUAUCGGAAGAUAGUCUUAUCAGGUUUAUGACUACACUAUGAGAUGAAGGUGUGCCUUAAGUUAGAACUGAUAUACUUAAUAUAACCACCUUUUAGUAAAAAAUUAUUGUUGUGAUCAAUAAUUGUCGUCAAUAUUGUUGAA